RNAcentral lists this ribosomal RNA (253 nucleotides) under uncultured bacterium. Its description in RNAcentral is "partial 16S ribosomal RNA". It matches the Rfam family "Bacterial small subunit ribosomal RNA", at positions 524 to 776 of the family's 1533-position model. The record is from RNAcentral.
UACGGGGGGGGCAAGCGUUGUUCGGAAUUACUGGGCGUAAAGGGCGCGUAGGCGGCCUGCUAAGUCGGACGUGAAAUCCCCAGGCUCAACCUGGGAACUGCGUCCGAUACUGGAUGGCUUGAAUUCGGGAGAGGGAUGCAGAAUUCCAGGUGUAGCGGUGAAAUGCGUAGAUAUCUGGAGGAAUACCGGUGGCGAAGGCGGCAUCCUGGACCGACAUUGACGCUGAUGAGCGAAAGCUAGGGGAGCAAACGGG